CCUAAUGCAUCCCUAACGAUUAGGAACCAAAUGAUUCGACUCAACCAUUGAUGCGACUUCAAGACAAAGACGAAACAUCGAGAAAAUUGGUAAGACCAAUCAGAACAACAACCCCGAUCAUCCAUUUUCUGCCACCAUGAAACACCACUGAGUCGAUUUUCUCUUUUGUGGCCGCCUUUUACAUCUCAAGACGAAUAACAUGCCACAUAAACCUUUUUUCUCUAUGAGGUGCAACAUUCAACUUCACCCUCUAUUGAUUUCUUUUUUUCGAUAACAACCAAUUGAUUUGAGGUUAGAUAGGUUUUUUUGUAACAAUGAAUUAUGGAGUACAGAAUGGUUAAAUUGGACACUGAAACCAAAAAAAAUUACAGGUCAGGUGAAAGAAAGUAUGUUGAUGUCCGUUGGAUUAAGCCUUUUCAACAUUGUAUUUAUCCAUGGUUUCUUGACAAAGCUUCAAUUUCUGAAUCAUGAAUCGGAAGUGGCAAAAAGUGAUUAAUUUACCGAUAUUGCGUUUCACUAUUUACCGAUUGGAGUAGACGUAACUCAAGCCUCAAGCCCAAAUGGUAAAUCGAAGUAUUCAAUAAAUUAGGGUUUGAUUUCGUGGGUAUGUUUUAUAUUUUGAAGGCUUCUUUGUACAUUUUACUAUCUUUUUACAAAAUUCUAUUGCAGUCUGAACAUUAUAGCGUCACUAUCUUCUCACCAUUGAUUUUACAGCAGCAAUAAGAGUUUUUUUGGACUGUUAAGCAUUUCCUUGAUGAACAUUGUGAUGAAACAGUGACAUAUCAAUGCUUAAUUCAUUACAUGUAAAGCUCCAACACAUUUUUUUUUCGUUCACUGAUCAUUUUGACAGAAAUGAUACAUAGCUUGGACUUAAAAAAUUGGCACAUGUAUCUUUCAAAUGGUUGGGACAUCUUUAUCAGGAAUGACAAUAGAUCCUAAAUCCAUGAGUUACUACUUUCGUAGAAAAGUUCAUUGAUGUUUUCUGAUUGCAGGUUUAGGGGGAAUCGGUUAUGGUUUUUUGGAAGAUUAAACAUGCCCAAAUUGCCCUUCACUUUAUAGUGAAAGUGAAGCACAGUUUAAUACAUAUAAUCCUCUUUUUAUCUAAUUUUUUAUUUCUCCAUAUUAUUUACUUCACAAAUUUUACUUACAAGUUGCAACCAAUCAAAUUUUCUUUAUAAUAAGAGCAAAAUACAAAUUUGGUCUC
Molecule: non-coding RNA, 1204 nt
Organism: Lactuca sativa (garden lettuce)
Lineage: Eukaryota; Viridiplantae; Streptophyta; Magnoliopsida; Asterales; Asteraceae
Source: RefSeq, a predicted model, not a curated record